Molecule: ribosomal RNA, 447 nt
Filed under: uncultured bacterium
Lineage: Bacteria
Description: bacterial SSU rRNA
Rfam family: Bacterial small subunit ribosomal RNA
Source: RNAcentral
UCGGGAAUUUUGGGCAAUGGGCGAAAGCCUGACCCAGCAACGCCGCGUGAAGGAUGAAGUAUUUCGGUAUGUAAACUUCGAAAGAAUAGGAAGAAUAAAUGACGGUACUAUUUAUAAGGUCCGGCUAACUACGUGCCAGCAGCCGCGGUAAUACGUAGGGACCAAGCGUUGUUCGGAUUUACUGGGCGUAAAGGGCGCGUAGGCGGCAAUUCAAGUCAUCUGUGAAAUCUCCGGGCUUAACUCGGAACGGUCAGAUGAUACUGCUUUGCUAGAGUGCAGAAGGGGCAAUCGGAAUUCUUGGUGUAGCGGUGAAAUGCGUAGAUAUCAAGAGGAACACCUGAGGUGAAGACGGGUUGCUGGGCUGACACUGACGCUGAGGCGCGAAAGCCAGGGGAGCAAACGGGAUUAGAUACCCUUGUAGUCCCUGAGCGGGCUGGCAAGGCGCAU